GCUGGCGGGAGCCUGAGGCCUGGGAUUGGUCAGAAAAGGGGGCGUAGUGCGAGGGGGUGUUCCCCGGCCUAGCGGCGGUACCCCGUUCAGCCUUCCGAGUCAGCUACGCCUGGUGGCUGUCUCCGCGUGCAUCCCUCCGGGAGCAGUCUGCAGGAACAAUAUGGAGGCUGACCUGUCUGGCUUUAACAUUGACGCGCCCCGCUGGGAUCAGUGCACGUUCCUGGGGCGUGUGAAGCACUUUUUUAACAUCACGGAUCCUCGCACUGUCUUUGCAUCAGAGCAGGAGCUGGACUGGGCGAAGGCGAUGGUGGAGAAGAGCAGGAUGGGACUUGUGCCCCCUGGCACUCAGGUGGAGCAGCUGCUGUAUGCUAAGAAGCUGUACGACUCGGCCUUCCACCCUGACACUGGGGAGAAGAUGAAUGUCAUUGGGCGGAUGUCCUUCCAGGUCCCCGGGGGCAUGAUCAUCACAGGCUUCAUGCUCCAGUUCUACAGGACCAUGCCUGCGGUGAUCUUCUGGCAGUGGGUGAACCAGUCCUUCAAUGCCUUAGUCAACUACACCAACAGGAACGCGGCUUCCCCCACGUCAGUCAGGCAGAUGGCCCUCUCCUACUGUACAGCCACUACCACUGCCGUAGCCACUGCAGUGGGCAUGAAUAUGUGGACAAAGAGAGCCCCACCCUUGGUGGGCCGAUGGGUGCCCUUUGCCGCCGUGGCUGCAGCUAACUGUGUCAAUAUCCCGAUGAUGCGACAGCAGGAACUCAUCGAGGGCAUCUGUGUGAAGGACAGGGACCAAAAUGAGCUUGGCCAUUCUCAGAGAGCUGCGGCUGUGGGCAUCGCCCAAGUGGUUGUUUCUCGGAUCACGAUGGCAGCCCCUGGCAUGAUCCUGUUACCAGUCAUCAUGGAGCGGCUGGAGAGACUCCGGAUGAUGAAGAAGGUCAGAGUGCUGCAUGCUCCCCUGCAGGUCUUGCUGUGCGGCUGCUUCCUCCUCUUCAUGGUGCCGGUGGCAUGUGGGCUCUUCCCUCAGGAAUGAGCCCAAGGCCACCUGCCCAGGGAAUGGCGCCACCCACAGUGGCCCAGUGGCCCACAUCAGUCAACAGUCAAGACAGUUCCUCACAGGCAUGCCCCGAGACUGAUCAACUUGAUAAAGACAGUUACUCAGUUGAUACUCUUCUCAGCAAAUUAGCAGUUUCCUAUCUAGAACCAGAGCUGCAGGACACCAUCAAGGCCAAGUAUGGAGAACACGUCCUCUUUGCCUACUUCAAUAAGGGUCUCUAAGUGCGCCAUGCCUUCAAGGACCAAUCCCUGCCCUGUGUGGACCAGCUUUUCGCUGGCAGCUGUCCAUAUUCCUCUUUGAAAUAAGGUCUGGAAGCCAGGCUGGAUUGGGAGAUGGAGUGGGUGGGAGGGGAGAUAGUUCCUGUUUCCAUAUAAACAACCGGGACAAAAAUUCAAAUGGGGAUCAAGGUGGUUGGGGAUGUAGCUCAGUUGGUAGUGUUUGCCUGGCAUCCACAAAGCCUGGGAUUUAAUCCUUUAAACCAUGUGGUUCAGGCGUGAUUGUACAUGCUUAUGACCUUGUUCUUGGGAGGUGGAGGCAGGAGGAUUCGAAGUUCAAAGUCAACCUUAGGUAUGUGGGGAAUUUGAAUCUAGUCUGAGUUAGAGAGAGUGUCUCAAAAAAGCAGGGGAGGGAACAAGGACAGAGGUUUCCUGUCUGCUUUGUCCUUGACCCUGUCCUUUGGGAGCAGAGGCUGCUGGUAUCUGGGAGUGAUUAGGAAACCUGUGACUCUUCUCCAGUCAGGACUGUAGAUGUACUGAGUCCUCCUCCUCUAUCCUCCCACUUCCUCCUUCCCAAGCAAGGGGAACGUUACCCGUGUGAGUCUGAAAAGGCUUUUGAUCACUUUCCUUUUAUUUUAUGUAUGGUGUUUCCCUUCAUGUGUGUCUCUCUGCACGCAGUGUCCACAGCGGUCAGAGGAGGGUGUCAGAUCCUCUGGGACUGGAGUCACCACUGUGAGCCGUCACGUGGGUGCUGGAAAUCCAGCCCAGGUCCUCUGGAAGAGCAGCUGCUGCUCUUGCCUGCUGAGCCAUCUCUCCAGCCCCUGUUCAGGACAGAAAGUCCUCUUGGGGACUCAUCUCUACCCUUCCCCUCUGUGCUCUGCCUGGGAUGCAUCCUUGGGAAUGCUGCUAGACUAGAGUUCUUCAGGCCGUGAGAGUUAGACUGGUGUGUACCACAGGAAAAGGAAGCUGUGCUUGGACACCCGAGCACAGUUCAACCAGCACCAAAGAGCCUUAAGCGUGUACAGCCAGACUGCCAUUUCACCCAGGUUAUGUGGGGCAUCAAGUUCUAUCCCUUUGAUAAUGACUUUAUUUUGUCUGAAAAUCAUGUCUAGAUCUAUGUCUGGGACCCUUAUUCUGAGAGAAGUCUCUUCUUUCAUUGCCUCCCCUGGUUUACAAGUCCCCCCGUGAGUGAAGGCACCUGCCACACGUUUUAAUGGGAAUGAUUUCCUGGUGGCCUCCCUUCCUGAGCCCAGUAGAUUAAAUACCAAAGAAAGACUGGUGAGUACUGGUAAGACAGGGGAGCUGUACUUGGACAUCCCUGAGAGGAAGUCAACCAGGACCAAAGAGAGCACACAGCAAAGGGCCGCUUUACUUCCUGUCUGUUCCUGGAGCCCCCUGGGGACUGUAGUUUACCUGGGGUCAUUGUGUAUAUGAGUUUUGUCUGGUAAAAUCUGCUGAUUGUGUUCAAACGAUGCCAUGAAUUGAAUAAACGAUUUGAAAGACCAUGAAA
Peromyscus maniculatus bairdii (prairie deer mouse) is the source of this 2779-nucleotide RNA transcript. It is a transcript of the gene named sideroflexin 2, with no coding region annotated. Lineage: Eukaryota; Metazoa; Chordata; Mammalia; Rodentia; Cricetidae. The record is from RefSeq and is a predicted model, not a curated record.